RNAcentral lists this ribosomal RNA (468 nucleotides) under uncultured bacterium. RNAcentral describes it as "partial 16S ribosomal RNA". It matches the Rfam family "Bacterial small subunit ribosomal RNA", at positions 28 to 507 of the family's 1533-position model. The record is from RNAcentral.
GACGAACGCUGGCGGCGUGCUUAACACAUGCAAGUCGAACGGAAAGGCCCUGCUUUUGUGGGGUGCUCGAGUGGCGAACGGGUGAGUAACACGUGAGUAACCUGCCCUUGACUUUGGGAUAACUUCAGGAAACUGGGGCUAAUACCGGAUAGGAGCUCCUGCUGCAUGGUGGGGGUUGGAAAGUUUCGGCGGUUGGGGAUAGACUCGCGGCUUAUCAGCUUGAUGGUGGGGUAGUGGCUUACCAAGGGUUUGACGGGUAGCCGGCCUGAGAGGGUGACCGGCCACAUUGGGACUGAGGUACGGCCCAGUCUCCUACGGGAGGCAGCAGUGGAGAAUAUUGCACAAUGGGCGGGAGCCUGAUGCAGCAACGCCGCGUGCGGGAUGACGGCCUUCGGGUUGUAAACCGCUUUCGCCUGUGACGAAGCGUGAGUGACGGUAAUGAGUAAAGAAGCACCGGCUAACUACGUG